UUGAAGAGUGGAAAAGAUAAUAAAAUUCUGUGUAACUAAAAAAAAAAAAGGUUAUAAAGAUAUUCUAGGAGAGAAGGGAAAGGAUGCUUUAUGGUUAUCAGAUGGAUACUAACCACAGAAACACAGAGGAGAAUCAUUAGAAGCAGAAAUAGGAAACAACAGAAUGCAGACAGCGUUGCCUGUUCUGACUCUUCUCUCAAUAGCUUCAUAACUUGGGUGGUGUGGAGCUCUUAGGAGAAAUCAGAGCUGAUGAAACUAUCAUAGGAAGUUCCACACAAACAUGCAGAAGAACCUUUUCAUGGUAAGGGUGACAGAGCACUGGGACAGGUUGUCCAGAGAUGUUGUGGAGUC
RNAcentral lists this long non-coding RNA (351 nucleotides) under Numida meleagris (helmeted guineafowl). RNAcentral describes it as "lncRNA (ENSNMEG00000011240.1)". The record is from RNAcentral. Lineage: Eukaryota; Metazoa; Chordata; Aves; Galliformes; Numididae.